RNAcentral lists this transfer RNA (57 nucleotides) under Bos taurus (domestic cattle). It matches the Rfam family "tRNA", at positions 8 to 63 of the family's 71-position model. Rfam says of the family: Transfer RNA (tRNA) molecules are approximately 80 nucleotides in length. Their secondary structure includes four short double-helical elements and three loops (D, anti-codon, and T loops). Lineage: Eukaryota; Metazoa; Chordata; Mammalia; Artiodactyla; Bovidae. The record is from Rfam by way of RNAcentral. RNAcentral also lists the same sequence under 5 other names.
UGGCUCAGACGGUAAAGCGUCUGCCUAUAAUGCAGGAGAGCCAGGUUCGAUCCCUGG